ACUCCUACGGGAGGCAGCAGUAGGGAAUCUUCCGCAAUGGACGCAAGUCUGACGGAGCAACGCCGCGUGAGUGAAGAAGGUUUUCGGAUCGUAAAACUCUGUUGUCAGAGAAGAACAAAGAGAUCAGUAACUGGAUCUUUCUUGACGGUAUCUGACCAGAAAGCCACGGCUAACUACGUGCCAGCAGCCGCGGUAAU
Molecule: ribosomal RNA, 197 nt
Filed under: uncultured bacterium
Lineage: Bacteria
Description: partial 16S ribosomal RNA
Rfam family: Bacterial small subunit ribosomal RNA
Source: RNAcentral